This 406-nucleotide ribosomal RNA is filed under the name uncultured bacterium. RNAcentral's name for it is "partial 16S ribosomal RNA". It matches the Rfam family "Bacterial small subunit ribosomal RNA", at positions 29 to 526 of the family's 1533-position model. The record is from RNAcentral.
AAUGAACGCUGGCGGCAGGCUUAACACAUGCAAUUCGAGCGAGCGGCGGACGGGUGAGUAAUGUCUGGGAAACUGCCUGAUGGAGGGGGAUAACUCCUGGAAACGGUAGCUAAUCCCGCAUACCAACAUGUGUGCCCAGAUGGGAUUAGCUAGUAGGUGGGGUAAUGGCUCACCUAGGAGACGAUCCCUAGCGGGUCUGAGAGGAUGAGCAGCCACACUGGAAAUGAGACACGGUCCAGACUCCUACGGGAGGCAGCAGUGGGGAAUAUUGCGCAAUGGGCGCAAGCCGGAUGCAGCCAUGCCGGGUGUGUGAAGAAGGCCUUCGGGUUGUAAAGCACUUUCAGCGAGGAGGCGUUACCUGCAGAAGAAGCACCGGCUAACUCCGUGCCAGCAGCCGCGGUAAUAC